UUAAGAACCAUUGGACGGAAGUUGUAUGCCGUCAAUAUACACACUACAGUUGCCUCUUUAACCAGGCAAGGUGUCAGUGCUCGUUUUUCUGGUACGCCAUUUUCUCUGAAGCAGAUAAGACUGAUUAAUAGAGACAUACACAACAAACCACUUUGCAGUUUUAAGUAAGCUUUAUGACGCGAAAAUCGAUGAUGGCAUCUCCAGCCCCGACUCAUUAGAAUGGUGAUCUAGCUCCAAAUAAUUGUUGAGCUAUUGGGGCAGAACGUUUCCCAAAGGAUAAGUUUGGUUUAAAAGCCUAUCGAGCGGACAUCACGCACCAAACAUCAGUCCAUGGAUCCAUCUCCUUGUUCUUUCAUUAGGCCUAAGUAAACUGAAGGGUGUGGCCCACCUACGCGCUGUUCUACCUGCCGUUAUCCCACCCACACGGAGAGGGGGAAGGACAGGCUCAUUUCUGUUUCCUCCUCUUCCCCACUCUCCCAGUCUGCCCUUUGUCCUCUCUCAAAGUCAAGAUGGCCCUUGUGUGAUGGAUACAGUUACGAAGAGCUCAGUAGUGGGUCCACGCCUCAUG
Anguilla anguilla (European eel) is the source of this 568-nucleotide long non-coding RNA. RefSeq lists it as uncharacterized. The transcript is spliced from 3 exons. The record is from RefSeq and is a predicted model, not a curated record. Lineage: Eukaryota; Metazoa; Chordata; Actinopteri; Anguilliformes; Anguillidae.